GGUUAAGCGACUAAGCGUACACGGUGGAUGCCCUGGCAGUCAGAGGCGAUGAAGGACGUGCUAAUCUGCGAAAAGCGCCGGCGAGGUGAUAUGAACCUUUGACCCGGCGAUGUCCGAAUGGGGAAACCCAGUGUGUUCCGACACACUAUCGUUAACUGAAUACAUAGGUUAACGAGGCGAACCGGGGGAACUGAAACAUCUAAGUACCCCGAGGAAAAGAAAUCAACCGAGAUUCCCCCAGUAGCGGCGAGCGAACGGGGAGCAGCCCAGAGUCUGAAUCAGCUUGUGUGUUAGUGGAAGCGUCUGGAAAGUCGCACGGUACAGGGUGAAAGUCCCGUACACGAAAGCACACAGGCUGUGAACUCGAAGAGUAGGGCGGGACACGUGGUAUCCUGUCUGAAUAUGGGGGGACCAUCCUCCAAGGCUAAAUACUCCUGACUGACCGAUAGUGAACCAGUACCGUGAGGGAAAGGCGAAAAGAACCCCGGCGAGGGGAGUGAAAAAGAACCUGAAACCGUGUACGUACAAGCAGUGGGAGCCUCUUUUAUGGGGUGACUGCGUACCUUUUGUAUAAUGGGUCAGCGACUUAUAUUCUGUAGCAAGGUUAACCGUAUAGGGGAGCCGAAGGGAAACCGAGUCUUAACUGGGCGUUAAGUUGCAGGGUAUAGACCCGAAACCCGGUGAUCUAGCCAUGGGCAGGUUGAAGGUUGGGUAACACUAACUGGAGGACCGAACCGACUAAUGUUGAAAAAUUAGCGGAUGACUUGUGGCUGGGGGUGAAAGGCCAAUCAAACCGGGAGAUAGCUGGUUCUCCCCGAAAGCUAUUUAGGUAGCGCCUCGUGAACUCAUCUUCGGGGGUAGAGCACUGUUUCGGCUAGGGGGCCAUCCCGGCUUACCAACCCGAUGCAAACUACGAAUACCGAAGAAUGUUAUCACGGGAGACACACGGCGGGUGCUAACGUCCGUCGUGAAGAGGGAAACAACCCAGACCGCCAGCUAAGGUCCCAAAGUCAUGGUUAAGUGGGAAACGAUGUGGGAAGGCACAGACAGCCAGGAUGUUGGCUUAGAAGCAGCCAUCAUUUAAAGAAAGCGUAAUAGCUCACUGGUCGAGUCGGCCUGCGCGGAAGAUGUAACGGGGCUAAACCAUGCACCGAAGCUGCGGCAGCGACGCUUAUGCGUUGUUGGGUAGGGGAGCGUUCUGUAAGCCGUUGAAGGUGUCCUGUGAGGGGUGCUGGAGGUAUCAGAAGUGCGAAUGCUGACAUAAGUAACGAUAAAGCGGGUGAAAAGCCCGCUCGCCGGAAGACCAAGGGUUCCUGUCCAACGUUAAUCGGGGCAGGGUGAGUCGACCCCUAAGGCGAGGCCGAAAGGCGUAGUCGAUGGGAAACAGGUUAAUAUUCCUGUACUUGGUGUUACUGCGAAGGGGGGACGGAGAAGGCUAUGUUAGCCGGGCGACGGUUGUCCCGGUUUAAGCAUGUAGGCGGAGGUUCCAGGUAAAUCCGGUUCCUUGUUAACGCUGAGGUGUGAUGACGAGGCACUACGGUGCUGAAGUAACAAAUGCCCUGCUUCCAGGAAAAGCCUCUAAGCAUCAGGUAACAUCAAAUCGUACCCCAAACCGACACAGGUGGUCAGGUAGAGAAUACCAAGGCGCUUGAGAGAACUCGGGUGAAGGAACUAGGCAAAAUGGUGCCGUAACUUCGGGAGAAGGCACGCUGAUAUGUAGGUGAAGCCCCUGCGGGUGGAGCUGAAAUCAGUCGAAGAUACCAGCUGGCUGCAACUGUUUAUUAAAAACACAGCACUGUGCAAACACGAAAGUGGACGUAUACGGUGUGACGCCUGCCCGGUGCCGGAAGGUUAAUUGAUGGGGUUAGCGGUAACGCGAAGCUCUUGAUCGAAGCCCCGGUAAACGGCGGCCGUAACUAUAACGGUCCUAAGGUAGCGAAAUUCCUUGUCGGGUAAGUUCCGACCUGCACGAAUGGCGUAAUGAUGGCCAGGCUGUCUCCACCCGAGACUCAGUGAAAUUGAACUCGCUGUGAAGAUGCAGUGUACCCGCGGCAAGACGGAAAGACCCCGUGAACCUUUACUAUAGCUUGACACUGAACACUGGUCCUUGAUGUGUAGGAUAGGUGGGAGGCUUUGAAGCGUGGACGCCAGUCUGCGUGGAGCCAACCUUGAAAUACCACCCUUUAAUGGCUGGUGUUCUAACGUAGACCCGUGAUCCGGGUUGCGGACAGUGUCUGGUGGGUAGUUUGACUGGGGCGGUCUCCUCCCAAAGAGUAACGGAGGAGCACGAAGGUUAGCUAAUCCUGGUCGGACAUCAGGAGGUUAGUGCAAUGGCAUAAGCUAGCUUGACUGCGAGAGUGACGGCUCGAGCAGGUGCGAAAGCAGGUCAUAGUGAUCCGGUGGUUCUGAAUGGAAGGGCCAUCGCUCAACGGAUAAAAGGUACUCCGGGGAUAACAGGCUGAUACCGCCCAAGAGUUCAUAUCGACGGCGGUGUUUGGCACCUCGAUGUCGGCUCAUCACAUCCUGGGGCUGAAGUAGGUCCCAAGGGUAUGGCUGUUCGCCAUUUAAAGUGGUACGCGAGCUGGGUUUAGAACGUCGUGAGACAGUUCGGUCCCUAUCUGCCGUGGGCGCUGGAGAAUUGAGGGGGGCUGCUCCUAGUACGAGAGGACCGGAGUGGACGCAUCACUGGUGUUCGGGUUGUCAUGCCAAUGGCACUGCCCGGUAGCUAAAUGCGGAAGAGAUAAGUGCUGAAAGCAUCUAAGCACGAAACUUGCCCCGAGAUGAGUUCUCCCUGAGACUUUAAGUCUCCUGAAGGAACGUUGAAGACUACGACGUUGAUAGGUCGGGUGUGUAAGCGCAGCGAUGCGUUGAGCUAACCGAUACUAAUGAACCGUGAGGCUUAACCUU
RNAcentral lists this ribosomal RNA (2907 nucleotides) under Enterobacter ludwigii. RNAcentral's name for it is "23S ribosomal RNA". It matches the Rfam family "Bacterial large subunit ribosomal RNA". Lineage: Bacteria; Pseudomonadati; Pseudomonadota; Gammaproteobacteria; Enterobacterales; Enterobacteriaceae. The record is from RNAcentral.